This 459-nucleotide ribosomal RNA is filed under the name uncultured bacterium. RNAcentral describes it as "partial 16S ribosomal RNA". It matches the Rfam family "Bacterial small subunit ribosomal RNA", at positions 338 to 795 of the family's 1533-position model. The record is from RNAcentral.
CCUACGUGAGACAGCAGUGAGGAAUAUUGGUCAAUGGGCGAGAGCCUGAACCAGCCAAGCCGCGUGAAGGACGAAGGUGCCAAGCAUUGUAAACUUCUUUUGUCAAGGGACAAAAUCAGGCUCGAGAGCCUGACCGAGGGUACUUGAAGAAAAAGCAUCGGCUAACUCCGUUCCAGCAGCCGCGGUAAUACGGAGGAUGCGAGCGUUAUCCGGAUUUAUUGGGUUUAAAGGGUGCGUAGGCGGACUGUUAAGUCAGCGGUAAAAGCCCGGGGCUCAACCCCGGCGAGCCGUUGAAACUGGCUGUCUUGAGAUGUCGAGAGGUAUGCGGAAUGCGCAGUGUAGCGGUGAAAUGCUUAGAUAUUGCGCAGAACUCCGAUUGCGAAGGCAGCAUACCGGCGGCGAUCUGACGCUGAGGCACGAAAGCGUGGGUAUCGAACAGGAUUAGAUACCCUUGUAGUC